UACUAGCUAUGACGGAGCCCAGAUAAAUU
Molecule: small RNA, 29 nt
Filed under: Bombyx mori (domestic silkworm)
Lineage: Eukaryota; Metazoa; Arthropoda; Insecta; Lepidoptera; Bombycidae
Description: ovarian small RNA-21299
Source: RNAcentral